This 1462-nucleotide long non-coding RNA is filed under the name Homo sapiens (human). RNAcentral describes it as "HSALNT0228297". Lineage: Eukaryota; Metazoa; Chordata; Mammalia; Primates; Hominidae. The record is from RNAcentral.
AACAAAUAAAAAAUAAUGAUAACCCUAAUUGUAAACAACAGCAAGUGCCAUUUAUUUAUGACAUAUUAAAAGCUUUGCACACAUUAUUUCAUUUAGUUCUCCCAACAAUCAUAUCAAGUAGGUACAGUUAUCUGCCUUAUUUUAUUGAUGAAAAAAGAAUCUCAGAAGGUUAAGCAACUUGACCAGGCACACACAGCUUCUAAGUGUGGGAUCAGAAGUCACAUCUCUCUGACUCCAAAGCAGGCAAAUUUUCACCUUGGCAUUGAAGCAGUUUUACAGACCUAUGUUGACUUUUCUUUUCACCAAUUGACCAGGGAACUUCUAACUACUCAGCAUUAAACUUCCUAAAUUAUUCCAUUCCUCCUCUGUCAGACUACGAGCUCAAAGCCUUAGUCCUGGAAUCCAGUUUUCUGCCCCAGGCUCCCUGGGCCUAUGGGUCCAGAGGAGCUACCUCUUCUCCAGUCCAAAAGAGUUCCCUGACUUCGGAGUCCAGUUCUGUCUGGGUAAAACACUCUGCUGAAGAAGGGUCCAUAAGGGAUUUUACUAUGGCUAUCUUUUUGGACAUAUUAAGGGGCAAGUUCUCUAAUGACUCAUAAAGGCCAUUAACAUGGGUUUUGCAGUGAGUACUAAGACCUUCCCAUAUGAGUAUAACUGAAACCCUACACAAAUAAUGUAAUGUUUAAUUGCAUGUGCAAAUAAAAUUGUGCAAAACUCUCUAAGAGUAUAAAGUUCGAAAGACUGUAUUUUAUAAAGAAUUUUUUAAUGAUAUAGGAACAACCUUAGGCAAGUAUGUUAAGGAAAAAACAGCAGGGUGUGAAACUGUACAUAGUGUAUCAUCAUCAUUAUGUAAAUUAUCUAAAAGCGAGAGGUGGGAGCAGGGGAAGUACUUGCAGAUAAAUACACAAAAGUGCUAACAAUGGUUGCUGAUAGAUGGUAUGAUGGAGACUUUUAAUUUUCUUUUUUUAUAUACUGCGAAAUUUUCCAAAUUCUCCUCGGCGAAAAUAUUUGUCUUUGGCCUCCAGCGACUCCUGCAGGCUGGUUAGUUUCUUGUUCCCCCAACAUCCCUCUUUCUGAUAUCUGCUUGGUCCUUCCUUAUUUAAGAUGCACAGGUGGGGUUUCCAGAUGGUCUGGGGGACACUCAUUCUUUAUUUAUCCUCUUCGUUUGCCAUUCUGGAUGCUGGGAAGUACAAGAUCAAGUCACCAGCAGAUUUGGUCUCAGCUGGGCGGUCCAGCUUCUAGGUCAUAGACGGCCACCUUCUUGAUGUUUUUUUUCACAUGGUGGAAGGAGCAAGGGAGCUCUCUGGGUCCUCUUUUAUAAGGGCACCAAUAUGAUUCAUGGAGGCUCCACCCUCAUGACCUCAUCACCUCCUCAAAGCCCUUCCAAUACUAUCACACUGGGGAUUAGGUUUCAACAAAUGAAUUUCAGGGGGACACACAUGUAAUCCCAGCACUUUCGGAGGCA